AUGUCACAAAGAGGAUAUGCUUUAAGUCUUGGUAAAGCCAAAAGCAGUCAACAGUCAGACUGCAUCUCAGCACUAUCAAGAUGGAUCUCCAUAAUAGGUGAUGAAUAGUUUUAUUGGGGGGAAAUAUUAACUUUACCUAUUGGGGGAAAGUUUUAGAUUGGUUUGCAGGUUGUAACCCAUUAAGUUGAGGCCAAUAGAUAGACAUUCAUAACCCUGUACCCAUCAAAUAAUCAACUUUAUGGGUGACUUUGGGACUGAUUUAUACAACCACAUUUCCUUUCUCAACUCUAUAGCAGCUUUUUCCUCUGUAUUUGAAAAAAAAUAACCAAGAAGGAGAAGAUAAGGAACCAGGAAUAAGAUGUAGAUGAGUAUGGUAAGGAUCUAAGCUUUGCAAGUGAGGGGGCUAGGAAGAUGGCUUUGUGGUCCAGCAUAGGAAUGAUGGGUGCUUCAUAUUAUUGAAUUCCUGUUCUACAGUCUUUGAGCUCUUUGCUCUCCUACUUUUAAGGCCUGCCACGUUCUGGGAGAUGGUGGGACUGGAAUGUUUUCUAAUGACGACGUGUCAGCCAGCUGCUGCUCUUGCUCUGCCUGCUCCUCCUCUCCCAUUAUUUCCCAUCUUUUCCCCUCAUCUGCCUCUGAGCAGUGACCUCCCUCAAACCCCUGUUGUAAUUCUGAACUGUCUUCUUCUUCUCUGGAAGGGUCAGGAUGGGGAGACGGUCUCCACCACUCCUCUUCUGCCCAGUCCCUGACACUUAAUGAAACAGUUGUUUGAACUGGCUUGAAGCUCUUCCAUCACUCCUUAAUCUUCUGUGUCGGGCCCCUCUCUCUGUGAUCUUUUACUGUGGGACUCCCUCUGCGUCUGCCUGGCUCACUGCUCAGGAAUAUGCAAUAAACGCUUCAUUCUAGGAGUGGGGCCGGCAAGCUGUCAGCAGAGAAGCUGUCAGAGCGGCUUUAAGGCAAAACUCCAGGGUCUACCUCUCCUCUGUCAUCUCUGUCGGUGCCUGCAUCCAUACUGGAAACCUUCUCACCUUGCCUGUGCAUCUCUUAGCUAUCUCUCAAGCGCCCUACUCCUAGCAUGUCCCAGCUUGUCCCCUCCUCUGAGGUGUGGCCUGUGUCCCGCCACCAAUCCCCAGGCUCGAAAUCCUCUUCCUCUGCACCUUCCCCGGGGAGCUCUUGACUGGGCAGUUGUCACCACUCUGCCUCAUCCAGCCAGUCCCUGGCAUCCUCUUGGUACGCCACAGCAAUGGUGGUGACAGGAGGACAGGUAAGCAGAACCCCCUCCUGCUGUUGGUGAGCACCAAGUGGAAAUGUGACUACUGACUGUCCAUAAACAACCCUGGCUUUAUUUGAUACAUUAUGUUAACCAAGCUAACAUCCCAUUUUUACACACACACACACACACACACACACACACACACACAUAUGGGCAACUGGCCUAAAGCCAAGUUGGACUGUUUCACCGAAGCAUCUCAUUUUAUAUUCUUUCAGGAUCCCAUCAUUUUUCUUAGCAGCUUUCCUUUUGCCUCCUAUUUAAAAAAACGAGUGCAGCUGAGAGCAGUGCCCUGAAUGAAGCUUUUUACUAGUUUCGAAACUUUUGGGGACAUUUGCCGCCCUCUUGAAAAUGGAAACCUGCAAUUAAAAUGCAAAGGAAUGCCAUAAUAUAAUAAAAAUGGGUGAGCGAGUUUGAAAGCCACUGCACUUAACUGCUGGGGGUGGAGGUGAACAUAAUAAAAUAAACCUUAAAUAUUGAGCCGCGCUCUCCAAUUGCGGCUGAAUGUCAAUUGACACCGACAGAGUGAAAAUCCAGCGUUCAUUAGGAAGUGCUUUUGUGCAAUACUUGCCACGAAGAAGAAUGCAACUGAAGGGGCACAUUCCCAUCUGGUGCAAAUCAAAGGAGCAUAUUAGCAUUUAUUUAUUAUCAAUUAAGGUACCCCACUUUUCACUAUAUAUCUCAAAGCGUCUUGAAGAGAAAAAAAGUAAAGCAUAUUAGGUUGCAUUCGAAGUAGCACUAAGGGGGAAAUUCCAUUAGCAGAAGGAUUCCUACUUCUGCAAGAGAGAGAGACAGAAAGAGAGAGAGAGAAUGCACGUACUUUUGUAACCUACAUAAUUAUUUAAAAACAAACAAUGCUCUCCCACUCUCCUCCCCCCACAAGUCCCCUGUAUUGGUUCUGGGGUUUCCUCCCACACUCUGGAGAAGAUAUGGAAAUAGCAGGGAGCAUCUCAGCAGGGAGGAGAGGGGCUGAAGACCUCUUGCACAAGCAAUUAUUUAGGAACAUAGGAAGCCAUCUUAUACUGAGCCAGACUAUUGGUCCAUCUAGCUCAGGAUUGUCUACAUUGACUGACAAAAGUUUGCAAUGAUUUCAGGUGGGGUUCUCUCCCAGACCUACCUGGGGAUGCUGAGGGUUGAAUCUAGGAUGUUUCGCAUGCAAAGCAGAUGCUCUACCACUGACCUGCAUCCCUUCUCCAGCACUGACCUACAGCUGAAUAACACCUAGGCUGGAUCUACGCUGACCUGUUUUAACAUUAUUAGAAAGUUAUUAGAGCAUCUGAGAAAGGCUGGUGCCAAUGUCCUGUACUGCCCAGCAGCUGCCUGAGGCAGUCCCCUCAUUUUGCUUAAUACUAGGGCCGGUCCUAUCCUGCAUAGACCUUAUUUUUAGUCUUGGAGUCCUUAUUCCCAAGGUUCUUUUAAUUGCUGAUGCCAUAGAAUCUGGAGCCUUAUGUGCAAAGUAUAUGUUUUCUGACUGAGCUGUGAUAAUUCCAAUUUCUGUAUGAAAGUUAUCAUUGGAAAAACACCUUCAAACGUGGCAUGGGAACAGGAGAAAGUCCGGGACUGCUACCCUCCACCCCCCAAGUAAAGAAUAAGAAGUUAGCAGGCAUGGGUGUCAGGAUGUUGUCAGUGGCUCCCGGCUGGUUGCCCAGGAAGGUAUAAAGACAAGGAAAGGUUUCUUACAGUCCUUUUUUAUUUCAUUUUUUACAGAGAGAGGCUAUAGAACCCAGCCUCUUGGAUAAUGGCGUUGUCCUGAGUGAAUCUCCACCCCCCGUAUCUCCCACUUCCUCAUUCGUCAUCAUCAUCAUCACCUCCUCUACGGGUGCUGCUGUUGGGUUUCUAUUCCUCUCACUGUGCAGAUAUUGUGUAGGAUUGGUUCAUCACAAGUCUGUGUUAUUUAUGUGACGUUAACAUAUGAGAGUGCUGGAGGUGAAAUAGUUAAUCAGAUUACCCAAUCAGGACCCAGGGGGGUGGAGUCAGAGGGACUGUAAAACCAGCUCUGGGAGGGGCAAAGGGAGGAGUUCAUGAGGAGUUCGUUGGGAGUUGGGUGGUUGGUUGGAGUGGGAGUUAAUUGGGAUAGAGUUUGUGGGUAGGUUGAGUUAGUGUAGCAAAAUAGGCUGAGUCAGGAACAGUUAGGGGCUAGGAAGACAAGUAAAUAUCUGAGAGGUGGUUUAGUGAGUGAGAGUGGGUAGCAAAAGUUAUAGGUCUAGAUAGGCACCCCAUGAAUGUAAUUGACUGAUACUGUCUAUGAAAACACACGCUUGUUAAACUGCGAUAAAUAAACAAAAGUUUAAGUUUCAAUUUAACCCUGACUGGACUCAGUAUUGUCCCAAGUAGGGCCUGGGUAGCGGCAGCGAGACUCCCUAGAGCUGCAUGCUGAUGGGAGGCACAGGCUGGAAACGUUCCUGUCGUUUGCCUGGGGGUCGUCCUAGCCCCCGGGCAAGCCGACAGCUGCUACGUGCCCUUUGCCUUUGAGUUCUUUGCUCUCCUACUUUUAAGUCCCGCCGGGUUCUGGGAGAUGGUGGGUCAGGAAUACCUUUUGAUGACAACGUGUCAGCCAGGUGUUGCUCUGGCUCUCCCAUAAUUUCCCAACUUUUCCCCUCAUCUGCCUCUGAGCUAUGACCUUCCUCAAGCCCCUGUUGUAAAUCUAUACUGUCUUCCUCUGCCUCCUCCCAGUCUCCGCCAUUUCUCCUCUGCCCAGUCUCUGACAUUGGGUACAAUACAGACAAUGUGGGGAUCUUGCUCUUUUCAAUAAUCUGGAACAUACUGGGAGCUUAUACACACUGCCUGCAGUCUCUUGCUUCUGUAGCAAGCUGUCCUUUCCUAUUUGGGAAGCAAGCUGCAAACCCCAGUCCUGCCUCUGAGCGUACACUAGUCUCUCCCAACAAAAGAGACAGCUCUGCUUUUCACCCAUGCCUGGGCCUGCUUCACUGUCAGACUUUUGCCAGAAGGGAUGGUCAGUUUACCACCAUAAUCUGAAGCUACGUUUCCCUUUGCUACAGGAUGCCCAUGGCCCAACCCAAAGCUCCGAGGCUGCCUGAGACCAAACUGUAGGACAUGCUUUGCAAAAGGUCAAAAUAAAGCUAACCUUGAAGCCCAA
Molecule: long non-coding RNA, 4364 nt
Filed under: Podarcis lilfordi (Lilford's wall lizard)
Lineage: Eukaryota; Metazoa; Chordata; Lepidosauria; Squamata; Lacertidae
Source: RNAcentral